This is a long non-coding RNA of Panicum hallii, 463 nucleotides long. RefSeq lists it as uncharacterized. The transcript has 3 exons. Lineage: Eukaryota; Viridiplantae; Streptophyta; Magnoliopsida; Poales; Poaceae. The record is from RefSeq and is a predicted model, not a curated record.
CCCCCUCGACAUGAAACGUCGGCAUCCGACGAAGCAACCAGAGGCGGUGGCCGUCGCCGUCGUCGUGCUGUGCAGGCCGACACCAACAGGGCUGCAUGGAGUCCAGAACAUACCCAAGCCUUUUGCCGUAUUUACUGCAGCCAAAUCGAUAAUGGAAACUGCGUGAGGGGUGUGAUGAACAAGGAUGGGUGGAAAGAGAUCCAGCCUAGAUUCUAUGCCGCCACUGGGUUUUGGCAUGACAGAGCGCAGUUUGGGAACAGAUAUAGGCAGCUCAGGGGUUUGUGGCAGUUCAUACAGCAACUGCGCACUGAUUCAGGGCUUGGCCGCCGACCGGAUGGAUCUGUUGUUGCCACGGAGGCUUGGUGGAAAGCGAACACAAUGGGCCAUCCUGAGUGGAAAAAACUGCAGUCCGGUUGGCCUAUUUACGUUGACGAGAUGGACCGCAUGUUCAUGGGUGUUGCCG